This 255-nucleotide ribosomal RNA is filed under the name uncultured bacterium. RNAcentral's name for it is "partial 16S ribosomal RNA". It matches the Rfam family "Bacterial small subunit ribosomal RNA", at positions 524 to 776 of the family's 1533-position model. The record is from RNAcentral.
UACGUAGGGUGCAAGCGUUAAUCGGAAUUACUGGGCGUAAAGCGUGCGCAGGCGGUGAUGUAAGACAGUUGUGAAAUCCCCCGGGCUCAACCUGGGAACUGCAUCUGUGACUGCAUCGCUGGAGUACGGUAGAGGGGGAUGGAAUUCCGCGUGUAGCAGUGAAAUGCGUAGAUAUGCGGAGGAACACCGAUGGCGAAGGCAAUCCCCCUGGACCUGUACUGACGCUCAUGCACGAAAGCGUGGGGAGCAAACAGG